RNAcentral lists this ribosomal RNA (403 nucleotides) under bacterium. Its description in RNAcentral is "partial 16S ribosomal RNA". It matches the Rfam family "Bacterial small subunit ribosomal RNA", at positions 355 to 776 of the family's 1533-position model. The record is from RNAcentral.
UGGGGAAUAUUGCACAAUGGGGGAAACCCUGAUGCAGCGACGCCGCGUGAACGAAGAAGGUAUUCGUAUCGUAAAGUUCUGUCCUAUGGGAAGAUAAUGACAGUACCAUAGAAGAAAGCUCCGGCUAAAUACGUGCCAGCAGCCGCGGUAAUACGUAUGGAGCGAGCGUUGUCCGGAAUUAUUGGGCGUAAAGGGUACGCAGGCGGUUUAAUAAGUCGAAUGUUAAAGAUCGGGGCUCAACCCCGCAAAGCAUUGGAAACUGAUAAAAUUGAGUAGUGGAGAGGAAAGUGGAAUUCCUAGUGUAGUGGUGAAAUACGUAGAUAUUAGGAGGAAUACCAGUAGCGAAGGCGACUUUCUGGACACAAACUGACGCUGAGGUACGAAAGCGUGGGGAGCAAACAGG